GAUGAACGCUGGCGGCGUGCCUAAUACAUGCAAGUCGAGCGAACAGACGAGGAGCUUGCUCCUCUGACGUUAGCGGCGGACGGGUGAGUAACACGUGGAUAACCUACCUAUAAGACUGGGAUAACUUCGGGAAACCGGAGCUAAUACCGGAUAAUAUAUUGAACCGCAUGGUUCAAUAGUGAAAGACGGUUUUGCUGUCACUUAUAGAUGGAUCCGCGCCGCAUUAGCUAGUUGGUAAGGUAACGGCUUACCAAGGCGACGAUGCGUAGCCGACCUGAGGGGGGGAUCGGCCCAACUGGAAUUGAGACACGAGCCAGACUCCGACGGGAGGCACAAGUAGGGAAUCUUCCGGAAUGGGCGAAAGCCUGACGGAGCAACGCCGGGGGAAGGAUAAAGGUCUUAGUAUCGUAAAACGCUUUUAUUAGGGAAAAACAAAAGUGUAAGUAACAAUGCAGGUCUUGAGGGUACCUAAUCAGAAAGCCACGGCUAACUUCGU
RNAcentral lists this ribosomal RNA (496 nucleotides) under uncultured bacterium. RNAcentral's name for it is "partial 16S ribosomal RNA". It matches the Rfam family "Bacterial small subunit ribosomal RNA", at positions 28 to 506 of the family's 1533-position model. The record is from RNAcentral.